This 178-nucleotide unclassified non-coding RNA is filed under the name plant metagenome. RNAcentral describes it as "partial contains 5.8S ribosomal RNA, internal transcribed spacer 2, and large subunit ribosomal RNA". The record is from RNAcentral.
CACGCGACGAAGAAGAAGGCGGCACCAAGGACGAAACAGGCCGCACCGAGAUUCUCGAACAAGCCAUUCUCGUUAUUGGCGGCGCGGAUCUGCGUUGGGCUGAGGAAGAGGAAAACGACGUAGGGGGCGACCAUCAUCACAUAGGAGAUGGUCCUCAGUAAUGCUGGUAGAGCUGGCU